UGUAGGAGUGAGCCUGCUCGCGAUAGCGUCGGCAGGCGCGAUGGUGAUGUUGGGGCUGAUUUGGCCAUCGCGAGCAGGCUCACUCCUACA
This 90-nucleotide non-coding RNA is filed under the name Pseudomonas sp. SJZ131. Lineage: Bacteria; Pseudomonadati; Pseudomonadota; Gammaproteobacteria; Pseudomonadales; Pseudomonadaceae. The record is from RNAcentral.